This is a long non-coding RNA of Cucurbita moschata (crookneck pumpkin), 466 nucleotides long. RefSeq lists it as uncharacterized. The record is from RefSeq and is a predicted model, not a curated record. NCBI's taxonomy places the organism in Eukaryota, Viridiplantae, Streptophyta, Magnoliopsida, Cucurbitales, Cucurbitaceae. The transcript has 4 exons.
UGUAGAAGCUCCUGUCCCGUACGUAGUCCUCAAAGAAGGCCUAACAGAGUAAUUCUUUCAUCUCUGUUUAGUUCCUAAGAAAAUUAUGGAAAAUGAGAAUCCUCUUGCUUCUUUUGUUUCUUUCUAGUGCUUAUAAUUUGAUUCUUUCUGUGUCUCAACUCUAAAACUGAUGUUGUUCUCAACAAUGAAAACCCACCGGUUCCGAUUCACCCACCAAUCACUCGGAAACCACUGGAAUCGGAAUCUGCUGCUGAGGAUGAUUCCACGGGCGACUCAAUUGACAGGAUGUUGGAAAUUGAAGAUAUUGACAGCCUUGAUAAGAAGGAUCCACUUUGUGUUGUGGAGUACAUCGAUGACCUGUAUACAUACUACAAGGCAGCCGAGGUUUCUGUCUCUAUUCCACCAAAUUACAUGGCCCAACAACUACAUAUUAACGACAGGACGAGAGGGUUUCUCAUUCACUGGC